AGCCAUUCUAAGUAGCCCAUGGCUGCCCGAUGGUGAUCCGAUGCUGCGUCUUCGGACACAAUUCUCAGAUCUGAGAUGCUUGCAGAGGGUGUCUUUUGAAUUCAGACACCUCCUGCAGCAUUAAUAUAUUUUCGCACAGCAAAUGUAUUCAAAGACGCAGCUGCUGCACCUUUAGCAUCCACCUCAUACUCGAGCUCUAUGAACACAAGAAGCAUCAGAUGGAAGACAGAGCAUCUUCAGAGGUCAGGAGAGGUGGUAAACAGUUCAUAUCCAGAGACAUAGCCAAGGUUGGAGCAGGAAGCGCAUGACGCAGAUGCUCCCGUUAAUCCCACCUAAGGAAACAUUCACCUAACAGAACAAAGCACUGACCAAGUUUAUUUGGACAGGUAGAUAAUCCAAUUCAAACAAGCAAGAAUACAAAUCCAAUACCAGGUUUUCCUUCCCCCUCGCAUCAAAGAUGAGAGCUGCAACAAUUCACCUGGGAAGAGCAGGAAUGUCAUGGAGGUGAAGGUUUCCUUGGUGUGAUUGGCAGGGAUAACAUUGCAAGGAACACAAACAAUCAUGUUUAAUGUCAGCAAGCAUGGAAAGUCAAAACAGAGCAUCCUUGGCCUUGCAUUUGACCUUGUGACUUAUCUUUCUCCACGGUGCAUGCUGGAAGGUGAAGUCUUUUGCACAAGUCAUCUAUGUCUGAGCGUGCCUGGUACUCAUCAGCGUUCAUGGAUACAUCCAGCUGAGUUAGAGACCGAUUUGUGUGGAUAACAGAGAGAAUAUCAUCGCAGGAGGUAUUGGUCAGGUGACAGUAACCGAAUCUCACCACCUGCAGGUUACAGCUGGUGUCCCUGAAAGCCUCAUGAAGGGGAGUGGAGUUCCGGGCAUUUAUUGGAGACAGAUUUAUGCGGAAAGACAUUUCUUAAGGGAGUAGAAGGACUGCCUUCUUUUAUAAGAGUCGCAAUGUGACUAUAUUUCUAGAACGUGAACUAGGACAUACUACUAUGGUUCUUAAAAUAAACUAGGACGCUACUGUGAGGCAUAACACUAACUAAGGCACUACUAUGCUUCAGAAAAUGAACUAAGACACUAUUAUGGGGCAUAAAAUUUACAACUGCUGCAGAGAGGUGUCUUUCUAGAAGCGUUGGGGCCCACAUAGUUCUGGCUAUGCCCCUGGCCACCUGCCGAAGUCUAUAUUGUGAUGAAACACAUGGAUGCUCAGUCAGUUCCAGCUGACAGUAAGACUUGAAAGCACUUAUCCUUAGUUUAUCAACAAACUGCUGGGUUUUUCAUCAAAUGGGUGCCAGUGAGGCAUAACCACCAAGCAGGUGACUGCCUGUAUAGUUACAUUUAGCACUGGGAACACUCUAUUAUAUGUAUGUUUUUAUUUUGCACUUUUCUGUUUUUAAUGGAUAAUACUCAGAGGCAGAUCUCUGGGAGGCAAAGGAGUCAUCUGCCGCCGGGCUCCUGCUCUGAAGGGGGCACCUCUCCUCCCAUUUUGUGACACCAUUGAAAUAAGUUAAUUUAUAGCUGUCGCUGUCUUUUCAGUGGCCAACUUCUUCACUGCUCCCUGCACCUUACAAAUCACACCCUCUUAUUAUACACAUUUUACAAGUGUCACACCCAGGAUUAGAAACCACAACCUAUUACACUG
Molecule: long non-coding RNA, 1642 nt
Organism: Pseudophryne corroboree (corroboree frog)
Lineage: Eukaryota; Metazoa; Chordata; Amphibia; Anura; Myobatrachidae
Exons: 5
Source: RefSeq, a predicted model, not a curated record